AGUGGGGAAUAUUGGACAAUGGACCAAAAGUCUGAUCCAGCAAUUCUGUGUGCACGAUGAAGGUUUUCGGAUCGUAAAGUGCUUUCAGCAGGGAAGAAAAAAAUGACGGUACCUGCAGAAGAAGCGACGGCUAAAUACGUGCCAGCAGCCGCGGUAAUACGUAUGUCGCAAGCGUUAUCCGGAAUUAUUGGGCGUAAAGCGCGUCUAGGCGGCCUUUUAAGUCUGAUGUGAAAAUGCGGGGCUCAACUCCGUAUUGCGUUGGAAACUGGAAGGCUAGAGUAUCAGAGAGGUGGGCGGAACUACAAGUGUAGAGGUGAAAUUCGUAGAUAUUUGUAGGAAUGCCGAUUGGGAAGCCAGCUCACUGGAUGAAUACUGACGCUGAAGCGCGAAAGCGUGGGGAGCAAA
Molecule: ribosomal RNA, 405 nt
Filed under: uncultured Fusobacteriaceae bacterium
Lineage: Bacteria; Fusobacteriati; Fusobacteriota; Fusobacteriia; Fusobacteriales; Fusobacteriaceae
Description: bacterial SSU rRNA
Rfam family: Bacterial small subunit ribosomal RNA
Source: RNAcentral